This is a small nucleolar RNA of Gorilla gorilla gorilla (western lowland gorilla), 104 nucleotides long. Lineage: Eukaryota; Metazoa; Chordata; Mammalia; Primates; Hominidae. The record is from Ensembl.
AUCCUUUUGUAGUUCAUGAGCAAGAUGAUUGGGUGAUCACGCACAUGUGUGAGACGUGCCAUCCUCAAACCUUGUUACAACAUUGGCAUAUUACCCAUCUGAUA